This 576-nucleotide long non-coding RNA is filed under the name Panax ginseng (ginseng). RNAcentral describes it as "long non-coding RNA (PGIN_LNC007236)". Lineage: Eukaryota; Viridiplantae; Streptophyta; Magnoliopsida; Apiales; Araliaceae. The record is from RNAcentral.
ACCGAUGGUCAUCGGUCUCGCGAACGAAGGCUUCGAACAGUUGAAAGGGGAAAUUGGCGUUGAACCGAGGCCACAUGGUCGGUGGACCCAUGGCAUCAUGCUGGAAUUCGGAAGUCAUCGGUCCUUGAGGAGGAGGCAUAGGCUGACUACGAACCGGUGAAGGAUCCGCAUGCAUUGCCUCUGGAGAAGGUGAUCGAGCUGGUAUCGGCUCGGGAGUUGAAGAAGGUUCAGAGGUUGAACCGGGCUGGCCGUCCGAAGGCUGUUUUCUUUUUCGGGACAAAGAAGGGUCGGCUUCGACCGGCUCAACAUCAAGUGUUGGGGUUUCAUUUGAAGGAUUGGUUGUUGAAGGUGGAGGGACGCGGAGUUCGUCGGCGGUAAGGGGAAUUAUUUUGCUUCUUAAUUUUUUAGCACGAAGGACUUUCGCCCGAUCGUGUGGAGGAAUGUCAAGGAGACUCCUCUUUUUUAGGUUUGGUUCAGAAGUUGGUGGGGUUGGUUCAGAGGUUGUUGUUGUGGAUUCAGUUGGAGGAAUUGGUUGUGGGUUUACCUCAGGAAGGACCUCCUCGUCGCUUUCAGGGU